Molecule: ribosomal RNA, 398 nt
Filed under: uncultured bacterium
Lineage: Bacteria
Description: partial 16S ribosomal RNA
Rfam family: Bacterial small subunit ribosomal RNA
Source: RNAcentral
AUACGUAGGGUGCAAGCGUUGUCCGGAAUUAUUGGGCGUAAAGAGCUCGUGGGCGGCUUGUCGCGUCUGCUGUGAAAUCCCGGAGCUCAACUCCGGGCGUGCAGUGGGUACGGGCAGGCUAGAGUGCGGUAGGGGAGAUUGGAAUUCCUGGUGUAGCGGUGGAAUGCGCAGAUAUCAGGAGGAACACCGAUGGCGAAGGCGGAUCGCUGGGCCGCUACUGACGCUGAGGAGCGAAAGCAUGGGGAGCGAACAGGAUUAGAUACCCUGGUAGUCCAGGCCGUAAACGUUGGAAACUAGAUGUAGGGCCUGUUCCACGGGUUCUGUGUCGUAGCUAACGCAUUAAGUUCCCCGCCUGGGGAGUACGGCCGCAAGGCUAAAACUCAAAUGAAUUGACGGGG